GCCCGGGGGGUGGAAUGGCAGACACAUCGGACUUAAAAUCCGAAGCCGAAAGGCGUGCGGGUUCGACCCCCGCUCCGGGCA
This 81-nucleotide transfer RNA is filed under the name Lentisphaeria bacterium. RNAcentral describes it as "tRNA-Leu". It matches the Rfam family "tRNA". From Rfam's summary of the family: Transfer RNA (tRNA) molecules are approximately 80 nucleotides in length. Lineage: Bacteria; Pseudomonadati; Lentisphaerota; Lentisphaeria. The record is from RNAcentral.